Molecule: unclassified non-coding RNA, 335 nt
Filed under: soil metagenome
Description: partial contains 5.8S ribosomal RNA, internal transcribed spacer 2, and large subunit ribosomal RNA
Rfam family: 5.8S ribosomal RNA (bases 1-120)
Source: RNAcentral
GAUGAAGAACGUAGCGAAAUGCGAUAAGUAAUGUGAAUUGCAGAAUUCAGUGAAUCAUCGAAUCUUUGAACGCACAUUGCGCCCGCUAGUAUUCUGGCGGGCAUGUCUGUUCGAGCGUCAUUUCAACCAUCAAGCCCUUUAGCUUGUGUUGGGGACCUGCGGCUGCCGCAGCCCCCGAAAUGCAGUGGCGGGCUCGUUGUCACACCGAGUGCAGUAAUCAUUCUUCUCUCCGGGCGUGGCGGCGGGUUCCGGCCGUAAAAUCACCAAUUUAUCAAGGUUGACCUCGGAUCAGGUAGGAAUACCCGCUGAACUUAAGCAUAUCAAUAAGCGGAGGA